UACAGAGGGGGCAAGCGUUAUUCGGAAUUAUUGGGCGUAAAGGGCGCGUAGGCGGCUUUGCAAGUGGCGGGUGAAAUCCCCUCGGCUUAACCGAGGAACUGCCUGCCAGACUGUGAGGCUUGAGACCGGGAGAGGUGAGUGGAAUUCCCCAGUGUAGCGGUGAAAAUGCGUAGAUAUUUGGGGAGGAACACCAGUGGCGAAGGCGGCUCACUGGACCGGAACUGACGCUGAGGCGCGAAAAGCGUGGGGAGCAAACAGG
RNAcentral lists this ribosomal RNA (259 nucleotides) under uncultured bacterium. Its description in RNAcentral is "partial 16S ribosomal RNA". It matches the Rfam family "Bacterial small subunit ribosomal RNA", at positions 524 to 776 of the family's 1533-position model. The record is from RNAcentral.